RNAcentral lists this long non-coding RNA (215 nucleotides) under Gossypium raimondii (Peruvian cotton). Its description in RNAcentral is "long non-coding RNA (GRAI_LNC001248)". The record is from RNAcentral. Lineage: Eukaryota; Viridiplantae; Streptophyta; Magnoliopsida; Malvales; Malvaceae.
GGUUUAACUCCAAAAAAUGUGCUGUAAAAAUAUAAGAUUCCUACACAAAAAUCAACUAAAAGGAAAACAAAUGCAGUAACAAAAAUCUAACUUGCACUAGAAAAAUAAAAAAAUCAUCUAGAAUAAAAAUUACAAGUCCCAUAAAAAUCAAAAGUUAAAAAGUUCAAUUUUUAUUGAAGUCAUGCACCGACUCCAUGUUCAUCAUUGCCUUCCCC